AACGCUGGCGGCGUGCCUAAUACAUGCAAGUCGAGCGGACAGAAGGGAGCUUGCUCCCGGAUGUUAGCGGCGGACGGGUGAGUAACACGUGGGUAACCUGCCUGUAAGACUGGGAUAACUCCGGGAAACCGGAGCUAAUACCGGAUAGUUCCUUGAACCGCAUGGUUCAAGGAUGAAAGACGGUUUCGGCUGUCACUUACAGAUGGACCCGCGGCGCAUUAGCUAGUUGGUGAGGUAACGGCUCACCAAGGCGACGAUGCGUAGCCGACCUGAGAGGGUGAUCGGCCACACUGGGACUGAGACACGGCCCAGACUCCUACGGGAGGCAGCAGUAGGGAAUCUUCCGCAAUGGACGAAAGUCUGACGGAGCAACGCCGCGUGAGUGAUGAAGGUUUUCGGAUCGUAAAGCUCUGUUGUUAGGGAAGAACAAGUGCAAGAGUAACUGCUUGCACCUUGACGGUACCUAACCAGAAAGCCACGGCUAACUAC
This 489-nucleotide ribosomal RNA is filed under the name Bacillus pumilus. Its description in RNAcentral is "bacterial SSU rRNA". It matches the Rfam family "Bacterial small subunit ribosomal RNA", at positions 32 to 504 of the family's 1533-position model. Lineage: Bacteria; Bacillati; Bacillota; Bacilli; Caryophanales; Bacillaceae. The record is from RNAcentral.